Molecule: long non-coding RNA, 311 nt
Filed under: Phaseolus vulgaris (common bean)
Lineage: Eukaryota; Viridiplantae; Streptophyta; Magnoliopsida; Fabales; Fabaceae
Description: long non-coding RNA (PVUL_LNC003902)
Source: RNAcentral
UAGGAAGAACAUUUGGCGCCCACCGUGGGGCUCGAUAAAACCUGAUCCCACCCACAUUCGUGAUUGAGCCUUUCGACGUGAUGAAAAACACAAGGCAAAGAUCGUUGGGAUCUGAAGGAAGCGAUGCCCCCGCCGUAGCAACUCAUGGAUGCCAUGAAGGCCCUCCAAGAGGCGAACGAGGAACACACACGAGAGCAAGAACGGAUCCAAGAGCGAAUCCAAGAAGAAGCUAAGGACGAGCAGAGCGACUACGAGUAGAAGCCCGAGCUGAGCUAGAGCUCUUGCAAGAUCGUCUGAUGGCAGAAAUCGAG